ACGGAAGGCAGCAGUGGGGAAUAUUGCACAAUGGGGGAAACCCUGAUGCAGCAACGCCGCGUGAAGGAUGAAGGCCUUUGGGUCGUAAACUUCUGUCCUUGGGGAAGACAAUGACGGUACCCUUGGAGGAAGCCCCGGCUAACUACGUGCCAGCAGCCGCGGUAAUACGUAGGGGGCAAGCGUUAUCCGGAAUUAUUGGGCGUAAAGAGUACGUAGGCGGUUUCCUAAGCGCAGGGUCUAAGGCAAUGGCUCAACCAUUGUUCGCCUUGCGAACUGGGUUACUUGAGUACAGGAGGGGAAAGUGGAAUUCCUAGUGUAGCGGUGAAAUGCGUAGAUAUUAGGAGGAACACCAGUGGCGAAGGCGACUUUCUGGACUGUUACUGACACUGAGGCACGAAAGCGUGGGGAGCAAACAGGAUUAGAUACCCUGGUA
This 433-nucleotide ribosomal RNA is filed under the name uncultured bacterium. RNAcentral's name for it is "partial 16S ribosomal RNA". It matches the Rfam family "Bacterial small subunit ribosomal RNA", at positions 341 to 792 of the family's 1533-position model. The record is from RNAcentral.